Molecule: ribosomal RNA, 508 nt
Filed under: uncultured bacterium
Lineage: Bacteria
Description: bacterial SSU rRNA
Rfam family: Bacterial small subunit ribosomal RNA
Source: RNAcentral
AUGGCUCAGGAUGAACGCUAGCUACAGGCUUAACACAUGCAAGUCGAGGGGCAGCAUUGGAGUAGCAAUACUUCAGAUGGCGACCGGCGCACGGGUGAGUAACACGUAUCCAACCUGCCGCUUACUCGGGGAUAGCCUUUCGAAAGAAAGAUUAAUACCCGAUGGUAUAAAGAGUUCGCAUGUUCUCUUUAUUAAAGAAUUUCGGUAAGCGAUGGGGAUGCGUUCCAUUAGAUAGUUGGCGGGGUAACGGCCCACCAAGUCUACGAUGGAUAGGGGUUCUGAGAGGAAGGUCCCCCACAUUGGAACUGAGACACGGUCCAAACUCCUACGGGAGGCAGCAGUGAGGAAUAUUGGUCAAUGGACGAGAGUCUGAACCAGCCAAAGUAGCGUGAAGGAUGACUGCCCUAUGGGUUGUAAACUUCUUUUAUAAGGGAAUAAAGUGAGGGACGUGUCCCUUUUUGUAUGUACCUUAUGAAUAAGGAUCGGCUAACUCCGUGCCAGCCGCGGC